RNAcentral lists this long non-coding RNA (258 nucleotides) under Cavia porcellus (domestic guinea pig). Its description in RNAcentral is "lncRNA (ENSCPOG00000036476.1)". The record is from RNAcentral. Lineage: Eukaryota; Metazoa; Chordata; Mammalia; Rodentia; Caviidae.
UAAAGGUGACUGAUGGGCAGGACUGGUCCUUCUUGUUGCCCCUUCUAGGAAUCUGAAAACACUGCCUCCUGUGUUCCCACAUGGGUCCCCUGGGCUGAGCGCGUUGGCCUCCACAGCUCAACAGAAAACACCUUUAAGACGAUCGGUGCCCCCUUUUAAGCUACAUGAACAUCGAAAUCAGCAGUAAACCCUCCAGACCCAACCCACGUCCCCUGCUGUUACUGAAGCGCUAGUCUUCUGCACCUCAGUGUGUAAACA